This 213-nucleotide long non-coding RNA is filed under the name Mytilus galloprovincialis (Mediterranean mussel). The record is from RNAcentral. Lineage: Eukaryota; Metazoa; Mollusca; Bivalvia; Mytilida; Mytilidae.
GUGGAAGAUAGGUCCGCUGCUGUAUGCCCUGAGGUAAUCAGUGCCCUCAGGUAAUCGUGGUAAUAGUGCCCAUAUGCGUAGUAAUAACAUGAUCUAAAAAUAGAAUUAACUAAAAAUACAUUAUUCUACUUUCUAUUUAGACUGACAAGACUGGUUUAAUAAAGGUUACCUCAGGUAAUCUGUUGUGUUAUGGAAUCUGGUUCAAUAAAGUCC